UGCAGUCCACAGUGGCCCCAAGGAACUCCCCAUCCUGACCAGCAUUCCAGCCGUUUUCACUCCAAACCCUGGAAUAGUAAUCAAUUCUGAGAAAACAGGUCCUCCGCUACUGGUGAUGUUGCUGAUUGGGGGCUUUGUGCUCAUUUCCUCUGCUCUACUUCUGCUGGGUUUCCUCUGCCUUAAGAAGAGGAAGACAGCGGUUGAUCAGGACUGCGGCCUUGUAAAAGGUAAACCAUCCAACAGCAC
Heteronotia binoei (common prickly gecko) is the source of this 246-nucleotide long non-coding RNA. RefSeq lists it as uncharacterized. NCBI's taxonomy places the organism in Eukaryota, Metazoa, Chordata, Lepidosauria, Squamata, Gekkonidae. The record is from RefSeq and is a predicted model, not a curated record. The transcript has 3 exons.